AAUCCGGUUGAUCCUGCCGGACCCUACUGCUAUCGGGGUGGGACUAAGACAUGCGAGUCGAACGCCUCCAAGCCACGAUGGAGGCGCGGCGCACGGCUCAGUAACACGUGGUCAACCUACCCUUGGGACGGAUGCAACCCCGGGAAACUGGGGCUAAUCUCCGAUAGGCGAAGAGGCCUGGAAUGGUUCUUCACCCAAAAGACGUUGGAAUCAUGCUUCCAACGCCGCCCAAGGAUGGGACCGCGACCGAUCAGGCUGUUGGUGAGGUAACGGCUCACCAAACCUAUAACCGGUACGGGCCGCGGGAGCGGUAGCCUGGAGAUGGGCACUGAGACAAGGGCCCAGGCCCUACGGGGUGCAGCAGUCGCGCAACCUCUGCAAUACGCGAAAGCGUGACAGGGCUACCCCGAGUGCCGUCCGCUGAGGAUGGCUUUUCUCCGGUGUAGUAAGCCGGAGGAAUAAGGAGAGGGCAAGUCUGGUGUCAGCCGCCGCGGUAAUACCAGCUCUCCGAGUGGUAGGGACGAUUAUUGGGCCUAAAGCGUCCGUAGCCGGCCAAGCAAGUUUCCCGUUAAAUCCAGCGAUCCAAUCGUUGGACUGCGGGAAAUACUGUUUGGCUAGGGGGCGAGAGAGGCCAACGGUAUUCCCGGGGUAGGGGUGAAAUCCUAUAAUCCCGGGAAGACCACCAGUGGCGAA
RNAcentral lists this ribosomal RNA (693 nucleotides) under Candidatus Bathyarchaeota archaeon. RNAcentral describes it as "bacterial SSU rRNA". It matches the Rfam family "Archaeal small subunit ribosomal RNA", at positions 1 to 670 of the family's 1478-position model. Lineage: Archaea; Thermoproteati; Candidatus Bathyarchaeota. The record is from RNAcentral.